UACGGAGGGCGCAAGCGUUGUUCGGUAUCACUGGGCGUAAAGCGCGUGUAGGCGGCUUGGUAAGUCGGGUGGGAAAGCCCGGAGCUCAACUCCGGAACUGCAUUCGAAACUACCUCGCUCGAGUCCCGGAGAGGGUGGUGGAAUUCCCGGUGUAGAGGUGAAAUUCGUAGAUAUCGGGAGGAACACCAGUGGCGAAGGCGGUCACCUGGAAGGUGACUGACGCUGAGACGCGAAAGCGUGGGGACCAAACAGG
RNAcentral lists this ribosomal RNA (253 nucleotides) under uncultured bacterium. RNAcentral's name for it is "partial 16S ribosomal RNA". It matches the Rfam family "Bacterial small subunit ribosomal RNA", at positions 524 to 776 of the family's 1533-position model. The record is from RNAcentral.